RNA transcript from Oryza sativa Japonica Group (Japanese rice), 1941 nucleotides. RefSeq lists it as uncharacterized. NCBI's taxonomy places the organism in Eukaryota, Viridiplantae, Streptophyta, Magnoliopsida, Poales, Poaceae. The record is from RefSeq and is a predicted model, not a curated record.
AAGAAGUCAUAUCCCCGGAGCCUUCGAAUCAAAAAGAGAAAAAAAGAAAAGAAAAGAAAAGAAAAAUCCCCUCCGCCUCCUCCCCCAAUCCUUAACCUAAACUCCGAUCCCCUCCGCCUUCCAUGGCUGCCAUGGGAAGAACUGUACUACCUUCCUAUGUUCUUCUGGAUCGCAUCGUUCGAUCGGAGGAGGAAGCCGUCGAGGAGGAGUCGGAGUGGGCGGCCAUGGAGUGCGCGGACUGGAAGUCGUACGGGUGCCACCCCGGUGACGAACGCUACCCCAGGAACGCCGCUAGGGUGAAGGGCAUGCUGCUCCUGGCGCGCCUCGCGGAGCCCCCGGGUCUCUCCGAGCUCUCCAUCCGCCUCUCCGCCGCCGCCGCCGUGCCCAGGCCGCCGCCGGCCAGCUUCCCCCCCGGCGCCGCCGUCCCGCCCAUCCCCAACUUGCCCGACGCGUCACCGUACGACGACCCGCCGCUCACCUACGUCGAGGCGGCAGGCGACGGCCUCAUCGCCCUCACCUCGUGCUUCCGGGAUGGCUGCAGCUGCUACCUCGUCUACGACGUCGUCGGCAAGUCGCUCUCCAUGAUCCCGGGCCUGCCCGAGUCCUGCCUCACCUACUGCAGCAUGCGGCCUCUCCCCCUGCGCACCGCCGCCGCCGGUGGCUACGCGCUGCGCAGCAGCUACUCGCUGGCCAUCGUGGCUAAGGACAUGCGGUUUGACAUGGAAGCGGGGCGAGACGUCUACCGGGAUGUUCUCUGCCUGUGCCCACCGCGGCCAUCAUCAUCCUCAAGUUCCAGGGGGGGCAUCACGCCAUGGCAAUUCAAGGACGCCAUCUUCCCAUCACAGAUGCCGGGUUCCUUCCACGGUGACAAGGUGUUCUCGUUCGGAGGCCACGCGUUCUGGGCCGACCUCGCAAAGGGCGUCCUCUUCUGUAGGUGCGACGAUGCUCUCUCCGGCCGCAAUGAUGAUGCCGUGCAAUUCCGCUACAUCCCGCUGCCUGUAGAGUGCCAUCUUAAAAUCAGUUUCGCCAUGAGGGGUGACCUCCAGCUAUGCCGCACAAUGAGCUGUGUCGACGGCUGCGGUGACUCUAUCAAGUUCGUCUGCAUCAGUGACGGCGGAUCCAGCUCUGCGCACACCGGCGAUCGUGCGAUAACGAUGUGGACACUGACCCUCGCAACCGGGGAGUGGCUGAAAGAUGCACAACUCAUGGUGGCAGAUCUGUGGGAGCUGGAGGGCUUCGACAAGGCGAGGUUGCCCAAGGCCAUACCAAUUAGCCCUGUCCUGAACCCUCAGGAAGAUGGUGUCCUUAGUUUCAUGCUCAACGAUGCCGAUGCAGAGCUGUACAUGGUCAGCCUUAACAUGCACAGCAAGAAGCUCCUCUCGUCCUUGACCCUCUCAUCCUGCCCUGAUGACAUUGUUCCUCCUUUGGGUUUGGAUCUUUCCAAAGACCUUCAGAAUCUGUCUCUUCGCCCUAUUGCUGCUGAGUCUGUUCCAGCCAAGACACAGGGACGCCCAAUUGCAACCAAGAGGAGGAGGUCGUCAUUACCGUAGUGACAUCUUUGUCAGGUAAUUCUACCGCUAUAAGCUUCUGCAGUCUGUCGAUGAGAUGAUGAGGUCAGUGGACGGCUCGUGAUGCUGGAGCAGACUUCAUUUUGCCAGGCUGCUGCUUACUUGGUAGGGUAGGGAUCGUAUUCUUCGUGCCGUCUUGCUGUUUUGCAAGCUGACUCUUUAGGUUUUAUAUUGCUGCCGCCACCGUUAUGAAAUCAGAUGAUGAACACAAUAUAAGAGAUUUUGGAUGGAUGUUACAUAACUAGUAUAAUAAAUCUAGUCACAUCCAUCCAAAAUAUAUUAUCAGAAUUAUAUUGCUUGACCAUACAUGACUAGUUGAGUAUUGCUAGUCGGAAUUGUUAAGAGUGGUUAACGUAAAGACCUUGUGAGAUUA